This 324-nucleotide unclassified non-coding RNA is filed under the name soil metagenome. RNAcentral describes it as "partial contains 5.8S ribosomal RNA, internal transcribed spacer 2, and large subunit ribosomal RNA". The stretch from base 1 to 120 matches the Rfam family "5.8S ribosomal RNA", at positions 35 to 154 of the family's 154-position model. The record is from RNAcentral.
GAUGAAGAACGUAGCGAAAUGCGAUAAGUAGUGUGAAUUGCAGAAUUCAGUGAAUCAUCGAAUCUUUGAACGCACAUUGCGCCCCUUGGUAUUCCAUGGGGCAUGUCUGUUCGAGCGUCAUUUGUACCUUCAAGCUUUGCUUGGUGUUGGGUGUUUGUCCCGAGGGACUCGCCUUAAAGUAAUUGGCAGCCAGUGUUUGGUUUUGAAGCGCAGCACAAGUCGCGAUUCAAGGCUACACGCCCGCUUCCACAAGCCUUUUUUCACUUUUGACCUCGGAUCAGGUAGGGAUACCCGCUGAACUUAAGCAUAUCAAUAAGCGGAGGA